Molecule: ribosomal RNA, 493 nt
Filed under: uncultured bacterium
Lineage: Bacteria
Description: partial 16S ribosomal RNA
Rfam family: Bacterial small subunit ribosomal RNA
Source: RNAcentral
ACGCACGCUGGCGGCGUGCCUAAUACAUGCAAGUAGCACGCUGAAGGAGGAGCUUGCUUCUCUGGAUGAGUUGCGAACGGGUGAGUAACGCGUAGGUAACCUGCCUGGUAGCGGGGGAUAACUAUUGGAAACGAUAGCUAAUACCGCAUAAGAGUAGAUGUUGCAUGACAUUUGCUUAAAAGGUGCAAUUGCAUCACUACCAGAUGGACCUGCGUUGUAUUAGCUAGUUGGUGGGGUACGGCUCACCAAGGCGACGAUACAUAGCCGACCUGAGAGGGUGAUCGGCCACACUGGGACUGAGACACGGCCCAGACUCCUACGGGAGGCAGCAGUAGGGAAUCUUCGGCAAUGGACGGAAGUCUGACCGAGCAACGCCGCGGGAGUGAAGAAGGUUGUCGGAUCGUAAAGCUCUGUUGUAAGAGAAGAACGAGUGUGAGAGUGGAAAGUUCACACUGUGACGGUAGCUUACCAGAAAGGGACGGCUAACUACGUG